This 406-nucleotide ribosomal RNA is filed under the name uncultured bacterium. RNAcentral's name for it is "partial 16S ribosomal RNA". It matches the Rfam family "Bacterial small subunit ribosomal RNA", at positions 30 to 526 of the family's 1533-position model. The record is from RNAcentral.
AUUGAACGCUGGCGGCAGGCUUAACACAUGCAAGUCGAGCGCGCGGCGGACGUGUGAGUAAUGUCUGUGAACCUGCCUGAUGGAGGGGGAUAACUCCUGGAAACGGUAGCUAAUACCGCAUACCAUCAGAUGUGCCCUGAUGGGAUUAGCUAGUAGGUGGGGUAAUGGCUCACCUAGGCGACGAUCCCUAGCUGGUCUGAGAGGAUGACCAGCCACACUGGAACUGAGACACGGGCCAGACUCCUACGGGAGGCAGCAGUGGGGAAUAUUGCACAAUGGGCGAAAGCCUGAUGCAGCCAUGCCGAGUGUGUGAAGAAGGCCUUCGGGUUGUAAAGCACUUUCAGCGAGGAGGCGUUACUCGCAGAAGAAGCACCGGCUAACUCCGUGCCAGCAGCCGCGGUAAUAC